This 968-nucleotide unclassified non-coding RNA is filed under the name Rhodotorula toruloides. The record is from RNAcentral. Lineage: Eukaryota; Fungi; Basidiomycota; Microbotryomycetes; Sporidiobolales; Sporidiobolaceae.
CUCAGCACAAUCUCCUCGUGCUGCCGCUUACCCAACUCCACCACCUCACUCGGACCGCCUUCAGCCGACACCGACUCGAAUUGCGCCGCCUCAGCUUCCAUCGCCGCCUCGCCCUCCGCCCACCUCGCUCGCACCGUCGCUCGCACCUCCUCAAGCCGUUUGUCGUCCUUGAAGAUGUCUUCAAGGGUCAACUUGGCGGAUCCGAGCAGUGGUCCGCAAAGGCGCCCCUCGCAUCGGUACUCCUGCCAGGCGUCGUAGAGAGCUCCGAAAUGCAUCGUCGGCAACAAGCUUCAGAACGCCCUCCGCCUUAUCCUGCGCAUCCUUCCCCGUUCCGCCGGCGGCAAGAAGCCUUUCGCGGUCGUCGAUCAACAAGUCUUGAACAUCGACGUCUCGCCGUUGCGCUUCUUGAACAGAUCGCCAACGACGAGGUUGAUCUGUCCGACCCCGAGUCCGUGCACACUCCGACGACGACGACGCCGUACUUCGCCUGAACAGCCUCGAGAUGCUUGACGAGCAAGGCGUACGCUUCGGCUCCGCCCUUCUUCUCGCUUGAGGUGUCUUCGACGGCGACGGUGUACGACUGGAAGAGAUCAAGCGUCGCCAUCUUUCCCCUGACGUUCUUUCCGACCGCCACGUUCAACUCGUCGACCGCUCGACGCAAGAGCGUGCCGGUGAGCGUGUUGCGCGUCGGGAGCUUUGCGCCGAUCCAUUUCGCGACCCAUCGUCGAACCAGCGGAUGAUCCACCCAGGAGAACGGCGUGUUGGUUCCCACGACGACUUCCAGGUGAUUCUCCGGUCGGGCAAGUCGGCUUUCGAGGGUUUGACGGAGGACAACGACUGGGUCUCCUUGCACUCGGCGACGUGCGGCGCUAGGUUCUCCUUCGGACGACCGGGAGAUGAGUGCUCCGACGGACCUGUCGCCUUUCGCCUCCUGGCAUCUUCGCUCGACAGCAGCGACGAAGCCCCCC